Molecule: transfer RNA, 76 nt
Filed under: Deltaproteobacteria bacterium HGW-Deltaproteobacteria-21
Lineage: Bacteria; Deltaproteobacteria
Description: tRNA-Cys
Rfam family: tRNA
About the family: Transfer RNA (tRNA) molecules are approximately 80 nucleotides in length.
Source: RNAcentral
GGCGGCAAUGGCCUAAUGGUCAGGCAACGGUGCGCAACACCGCUAUGGACAGGUUCGAAUCCUGUUGCCGCCUCCA